GGGAGCGUUGCGGGUGGGAGGGACGUUAUGGAGGGGAAGCCAUUGUAAUCCAUAAGAUGUACUUUGGAAAUUUAUAUUCAUUAAAAAAAAAAGAAAAAAAGGAAAAACAGGUUUUUUAUACUAUUUGUGAACCCUUUUCUUAGUUUAGAGUUAAUCGUAUGUGUAUAAAACUAGAUAAAAAUAGAUCUUAGUAAAAUAUAAGAAUGGGAAUAGGAGAGGGAAGAGGAAGAAGGGUGGGAGUGUGGGUAGAAAGGUACAGAGGGAAGAAUCACCAUAAUCCUAAAGCUGUAUUUGCAAAAUGUAUGAAGUUUGUAUUCCUCAAAUAGAAUGUUACUGGAGGAAAAAAAGACAGGAUUUCAUCCUUUUUUAACAUCUGAGUAGUAUUCCAUAGUAUAUAUAGCCCAUAAUCUCUUUAUCCAGUCAUCAGUUGGUGGACCUCUGGGUUGAUCACCUAUCUUAGCUAUUAUGAAUUGAGCUGCAAUAAACAUGAGGGUAAAGAUAACUCUUUGAUAUGCUGAUUUAAUUUCAGUUGGGUAACAAAAGUGGGAUUGCUAGGUAAUGUGGUAUGUCUAUUUUCAGCUUUCUGAGGAACCUCCAUACUGUCUUCCACAAUGUCUGUACUAGUUUAUAUUCCCACAAACAGUGGAUUAAGAUAACUUUUUGCCCACAUCCUUGCCACCAUUUAUUUGUUGAUUUCUCUAUCAAAGCCAUUCUAACUGGGGUGAGGUGAAACCUCAUUGUGGUUUUGAUUUGCAUUUCCCUGAUUGAUAGUGAUCCUGAGCAUUUUUUUCAUGUGUCUGUGAGCCAUGUGAAUUACCUCUUUUGAAAAAUGUCUGUUCAAGACCUUUGCCCAUUUUUUAACUGUAUUGUUUGUUUUGUUUUUGUUGAGUUUCUUGAGCUCUUUAUAGAUUCUAGAUAUUAAUCCUUUAUCAAUUUAAUAGUCUGCAAAUAUGUUCUCCCAUUUUGUUGGUUGCUCCUUCACUGUGUGGAGUUUUCCUUUUGCAGUGCAGAAUCAUCUCAGCUUUAUGUGAUCCCAUUUUCAAAUUUGGAUCUGAUUACCUGUGCUUCUGGGGUUUCUCUAAGAAUGCUUUGCUUAUGCCAAUGUCUUGCAGAGUUUCCCCAAUGUUCUCUAGUAAUUUGAUGGUAUCCAGUCAUAGAUUUAGAUCCUUGUUCCAUUUUGAAUUGAUUUUUUUUACGGUAUAAGCAAGGGAUCUUGCUUCAUACUUCUGCAUCCAGAGAUCCAGUUUUCCCAGCACUGUGUUGAUGAGAUUGUCCUUUCUCCAGGGAUUGAUUGAUUUGAGCUCCUUUGUCAAAUAUUGGUUGUAGAUACAUGGGUUGAUUUCUGGAGUUUCUAUUCUGUUCCAUUGAUCUACAUCUAUUUUUGUGCCAAUACCAAGCUGUUUUGAUUAUAACUUCCCUGUGGUAUAUCUUUGAAGACCUGAUAUUGUGAUGCCUCUGGCUUUGUUUUCGUUGCUUUAGCUAUUUGGGGUCUAUUUUGUUUCCAUAUUAAUUUUAGCAUUAUUUUUUCUAGAUCUGAGAAGAAAUGUGCUUGAUACUUUGAUUCUUAUCACAUUGGAACUGUAAAUUGCUUUCAGUAGUAUGGACAUUUUGAUGAUAUUGGUUCUUCCAAUCCAUGGACAUUGGAAGAUUUUUCCAUUUUUUGUGUCUUUUUCUGUUUCUUUAAUGUUUUGUAAUUUUUAUUAUAGAGAUUUCACCUCUUUUGUUAAAUGUAUUUUAAGGCACUUAAUUUUUUCUGUAUCUAGUGUGAAUGGGAUUGAUCUUAGACAUUUCUUCUCAGCAUUGUCUGUGUAUACAAAGGCUAUUGAUUUUUGUGUGUUAAUUUUAUAUCCUGCCAUUUUAUCAAGCUCUUUUAUGGGUUCCAGUUUUUUUUUCCCCCCCAGUGGAGUCUUAUGGUUCCCCUACAUAUAGAAUUAUGUCAUCUGCAAAUAGGACUAAUUUGACUUCCUCCUUUCCAAUUUGUAUCCCUUUGAUUUCUUUUUCUGGCUAACACUUCCAGGACUGUAUUGAAUAGCAGUGGUGCAAGUGGAAAUCCAUGUUUGGUUCUGGAUCGUAGUGGAAAUGCUUCCAACUUUUCAUUAUUUAAUAAGAUGCUGGCUGUGGGUGUGUCAUAAAUUGUCUUGAUUGUGUUGAGGAAUGCUCCUUCUAUACUCAAUUUGCUUAAGGUUUCAUCAUGAAAUGAUGUUGUAUUUUAUAAAAUGCUUUCUCUGCACCUAUUGGGAUAACCAUGUAGUUUUUAUUUUUCAGUUUCUUAAUGUAAUUAUUAAGUUGGCCUUCUCUUUCUUGUUGUGGAAAGGGCAAAGUUUUUGUCUCUGAAUCAUUGUGUGAAACACCAUCACAUAUUUCCUAUUUUCUUUUAGCUAACUGUUUCUGAUUUUCCAAUUUAAUGCAAGUUCGAGAUGUAUUCUGUUCAAAUGCUUAGUCGUGCUUGCAGUACCUUAUGUUUAAUGCCAGCCAUAGAUCUCAUUAACAUGCUGACGACUGCCUCUGGCAGACAGCUGCCUAGUUAGUCAAUGGAAACUUUUCUGUUCAAUUGUGCAUUGCUUUGGGAAAUUUUCUCAAUAUUAGAACAAUCCCACUCAGGAUUCUAAUGAGCAAAAUAAGUAGACCAUGACAAAGGAUGUUGGGAGACAGAUUUAGUAUGCCUUCAACUAUUAUUCAAGGGAUUUAGGUAUUAAUAGGUAAGCCUAAUAAUGAAAAUCUCAUGAAGUUUUAGAAAACUGAUGCGUAAAUAAUGGAAUAGUAAGGAAAAACCUACCACAUAAAAAUUAUCACAGGAAUAAUAUUGAGAAAUAUUUCAGUUUGUGAGAAUAUAUUUGUUUUUAGUUUUUAGCAUGGCUGCAGGAUACCCAAAGAAUCCUGUGUUAGUGCUUGACUCUCCCAUGAACUACUUCAGAGAGUUGGAUUAGUCUCAGGUACCUCAUGUCCUUCUUUUUCUUCCUCUGUAAAUUGAAAGAGGCAAACUAGAUGCCUUCCCCAUCCCUGGAAGCAUUGACUUUGUUGUGUUUAUUAACUACUUCAUAUGAACAGAAGAAACCAGCCCGAUAUUGAAACACAUCAUAACAGAUUUGGAAUACUUAGAGUAACACAGUACAGGCAUAAAAAUAGACGGUUAAUGGAAAGAUAUAGAGAUGCAGAAACAGAUUUGGUGCAAUUUAUUAAAUGAUUAAGAUAGAAUUUUUUCCAUCUGGAUAAUAUAGAUGGAAAGUGUAGUAUCUUGGAACAAUUAGUUUAACGGUUAUAGAAGUUUAAAACUGUAUUCUCACUCAUGUUGGUGUCAAAUUGAAUUCAAAAUGGACUAAUGUUUUAAACAUAAGAAAGAAAGAGAAGAGGAAGGAGGAAGAGAGAAAGGAGAGAGAGGAGAGAGCAAGAGAGAGAGGAAUGGAAAGAAAACUUUAAAAAAACAUUUUUAAUAAGAUGACUUUUGUAAGUAUCUUGAUAAAUUCAGAGACUAUAAAGGAAACAUUUAUAUAUUUUACACAUUUAAAAAUUAAAUACUUUUGUAUCAUUGAUUUCUUUUAUAGAAAGCUUUCUCAUAAAUUAAUAGCAAAAGAUGAACAACUCAAAAGAUAAAAGAUUAAAGAACAUGGACAGUUCACAGAAAGAAUAGCAGAAAUAAACCCUUGACAGCCUUCUCAAGGAGAGAAACACCAAGAUGCCAUGUUUAGCUAUGAGUGGCAAAAAAUGAAAUAUUAAAUAGAACUCAGUUUUUUAAGAAAAAAAUUUCAUAUAUGUUGAUGACAGCUUUUUUCUAAUAAGGAUAGAUUAGCAGUAGCUAUCUAAAUCUGAAAUGUAAAUACAUUUAAGUACUUUUAAACAAAAAUUUCCUUUUCACAAUACUUAUCCUACAGUCAACUUGCUGGACCAUGUUUGAAAAUGAUUCUAUUUGUAUUCUUAAAAUUUAUACUUUAUCAACUUUUAAAAAUGUAUAAAAUAAAUUGUUAUUACAUUAGGAAUUACUUGUAGCAUUUGUCUCUGAGGAGGAAAAGAAGGUAGAGAAGGCAUUUAAAAUUUUUACUUUAUAUCAUCUAUACUUCUAUCAUAUUUGACAUUUCUACCAUGACUUGGUAAAUAUAAGUUUUAACUUAAACAAAAAUAAUAUCGAAUGAUAGUAUCAUAAAGUACCUUUUUAAAGGAGUUGUGGAAACCACAAUGAUAAGGCUAAAAUAUAUUUAAGGAAAAACUCAAGCUCAUCUGUCCUGAAAUUGAAAAUAGUAGUUUAAAAAUGUAAUAUGUUAGAAUGUAUACUCUUUUGGAAAAUAAUACAAGCUCAUUAUAAAAAUGACAGUUUCUGGAAUUUGUUCAAAUUGAAUGCUUCGUGUACCAUUUUAAUACUCUAAAAGAUUGCAUAAUAGAAAAUGAGAUCCAUAUCUUACAUUUUUUUCAAAGUUUUUUUUAUUUAUUUGGAAGAGAGAGAUUUUAUAUCUGCUGGUUCACUCCCAAAUGCCCACAGCUCCAGGUCUGAAUCAAGGCAAAGCCAGGAACUAGGAACUUCUGGGUCUCUCAUGUCGGGGUUUCCUGUCUUUUUCCAAUUGCAUUUAGAGGGAGCUGGAUCGUAAGUGGAAAACUAGGAGUUGAGCUGGUGCCCUGAUAUGUGAUGUCAGAAUCAGCAAGCUGUGGCUUAAUCCUUUGCUCCACAGUGCUGUCCUUAAAAUCUUAUAUUCUGUUGGAAAGAACUCAGUGCUUUUUAUUUGAUGAGCUUAUUUGCACACAGAAUGUUUUGUGGGGUAUGUUGGCUAUUUAAACAGUGGCAUGACAAACAUGUUUGGGUUGUUACAUUUGACUUUUGUUUCUUGUGUUACCAACAUAUCCACACAUUUCCCUUUGAUGUGAUCCCAGCAUUCAUUGCUUUUGAAAAUAUAAAUAGGGCAUGGCAGGCGCUGUGACGCAUCGAGUUAACACCCUGACUUGUAGCUCCGGCAUCCCAUAUGGGUGCCAGUUCUAAUCCCGGCUGCUCCUCUUCCGAUCCUGGGAAAGCAGUAGAAGAUGGGCCAAAGCUUUAGGCCCCUAAACCAGGGAGGGAGACCUGGAAGAAGCUCCUGGCUCCUGGCUUCGGAUUGGCACAGAUCCGACUGUUGCAGCCAAUUGGGGAGUGAAACAUCGGAUGAAAGACCUCUCUCUCUCUCUCUCUCUCUCUCUCUCUCUGUAACUCUGACUUUCAAAUAAAUAAAUCAAUCAAAGAAAAAAGAAAAAAUAUACAUGGGGCACCAGCUCAGAUUAGUAAUUAAAAUUUUAAAACCAAACUAUCCAUAUAUACUUACAGUUUAGCAAGACUUUUCUUUUUUUUAGGAACCUGAGUAUCAUUAAAAGACAUGUCCUUUUGUUCCCCAUGUUUACAAUGUAUCAUUAAUUGAUAAUUUGCAUAUAUGUAUGAGUUGAUCGUGUGUAGGAUUUCUCAGAAUGUUCUAAUAUUUUGUUAGUAAUUUUACACUUGUGUUUAUAUAAAAAUUAAUGAAGGUAUAGAUUUUUAUUACAGCAGUGGUUUUAGGGAACAUGAUUCAGAAUGGGUAACAGCACCAAACAUCUGGUAUAGUGUGAAAUAUUUUCAAUCUUAAAAGAAACAUUUUUCCAAGGAGUGGGAUGGCUGGGUCGAACGGUAGGGUUAUCUUCAGGUUUCUGAGGAAUCUCCAGACUGACUUCCAUAGUGGCUUGACCAGUUUGCAUUCCCACCAACAGUGGGUUAGUGUCCCUUUUUCCCCACAUCCUCGCCAGCAUCUGUUGUUGGUAGAUUUCUGAAUGUGAGCCAUUCUAACCGGGGUGAGGUGAAACCUCAUUGUGGUUUUGAUUUGCAUUUCCCUGAUUACUAAUGACCUUGAACAUUUUUUCAUGUGCCUGUUGGCCAUUUGGAUUUCCUCUUUUGAAAAAUGUCUAUUGAGGUCCUUGGCCCAUCUCUUAAGUGGGUUGUUGGUUUUGUUUUUGUGGAGUACCCAAAGGAAUUUAAAUUGGCAAACAAAAAAGCGGUCUGCACCCUAAUGUUUAUUGCAGCUCAAUUCACAAUAGCUAAGACCUGGAACCGAUCUAAAUGCCCAUCAACGGUAGAUUGGAUAAAGAAAUUAUGGGAUAUGUACUCUUUAGAAUACUAUACCGCAGUAAGAAACAACGAAAUCCAGUCAUUUGCAACAAAAUGGAGGAAUCUGGAACACAUCAUGCUGAGUGAAAUAAGCCAGUCCCAAAGGGACAAAUACCAUAUGUUCUCCCUGAUCGGUGACAACUGACUGAACACCAAAAAGGAAACCUCCUGAAGUGAAACGGACUCUAUGGGAAACGGUGACUUGAUCAGCAUAGCCCUGACUGUUAAUGAACAACUUAAUACAUUAUCCCUCUUAGUAGUUUUUUUGUCUGUUCUACUUAAUAUGACUGAUUUAAUUCUGUAAUUAAUACACAGUUAUUCUUAAGUGUUAAAAAUUAACUGAAAUAUGAUCCCUGUUAAACAUAAGAGUGGGAAUAAGAGAGGGAAGAGAUGUAUAAUUUGGGACAUGCUCAAGCUGACUUGCCCCAAAUGGUAGAGUUAAAAACAUACCAGGGGAUUCCAAUUCAAUCCCAUCAAGGUGGCAUGUACCAAUGCCAUCUCACUAGUCCAAGUGAUCAAUUUCAGUUCACAAUUGAUCAUAAUGAAAGGACUAAGAGUCAAAGGGAGCACAUAAACAAGUCUAGUACCUGCUAACACUAACCGAUGGAAUAAAUAAAGGGGAGAGUGAUCCAACAUAGGAAGUGAGAUACUCAGCAGACUCAUAGAAUGGCAGAUGUCCUAAAUAGCACUCUGGCCUCAGAAUCAGCCCUAAAGGCAUUCGGAUCUGGCUGAAAAGCCCAUGAGAGUAUUUCAGGCAUGGAAAGCCAAGACACUCUGGCAAAAGAUCUCUGCGAGUGAGAUCCCAGUGGAAAGAACAGGUCUUCAAAGAAGGAGGUACCUUUCUCUGAAGGGAGGAGAGAACCUCCACUUUGACUAUGACCUUGUCUAAACAAGAUAAGAAUCGGAGAACUCAGAGGGCUUCCAUAGCCUUGGAAACUCAUGACCGGAGCAUAGGGAGACUACUGAUGCCAUAGACAGGAGUGUCAAUUGGUAAAGUCAACAACAGGAGUCACUGUGCACUUACUCCUCAUGUAGGAUCUCUGUCCUUAAUGUGCUGUGCAUUGAGAUUUAAUGCUAUAACGAGUACUCAAACAAUAUAUUUCACUUUGUGUUAUUAUGGGGGUGCAAACUGUUGAAAUCUUUACUUAAUGCAUACUAAACUGAUCCUCUGUAAAAAAAAAAAAAAAAAAAAAAAAAAAGAAAGAAAGAAAUUAUCAACUCCCAACUUGACUCUCACUGGGAUUAAACAUGACAAUAGGUCUGAUCUGAUUUCAUCAUCAUUUAAAAAAAAAAUCAUCUAUUAUUUCUCACUUUAUGUUUCUGUGUGAGAGCAAACUGUUGAAAUCCUUACUUAAUGUAUACUAAGCUGAUCUUCUGUAUAUUAAGAUAAUUGAAAAUGAAUCUUGAUGUGAAUGGAAGGGGAGAGGGAGUGGGAAAGGGGAGGGUAGUGGGUGGGAGGGACGGUAUGGGGGGGAAGCCAUUGUAAUCCAUAAAUCGCACUUUGGAAAUUUAUAUUCAUUAAAUAAAAGUUAAAAAAAAAGUUUUUUAAAUAAAAAGUUUAAAAGUAAAAAAAAAAAGAAACAUUUUUCUGAAAUGAAUGAACUCACAAAUGAAAGUAAUUUGAACUUUAUAGAUGUAUCCUUUUAAUUGCCUAGGUAAAGAAAAAGCAAGCCUAUUGUCUGCCCCCCCCCCAAAAAAAAAGGGAACGAUUCAGCAAAAGCAAAACUAUGGUUAAAGAAUUGGAAUAGAAAUUGAUAUUAAAGUUUUAGAUUAAAUUACUUUUAUUCUCAACAUAUCCAUAUGCCAUAAAAGUGGUUAGAUAACUAGUAGAAUUUAUCCACAGAAAAAGCAUUUUACUAGUAGAAACACUAAAUAGUAUUUAAAACUAUAUUAGUAAAAAUAAUUACAGUAAUUAUUCUAGAAGUCAAAAUGAGAUAAUAUUUAAUACUACCACUGAUAUGUUAAAUAGGAACAUUAUGAUCUACAGAAGAAUAUUUCUGUCACCUUAGUGUAUGCCUCAAACCACCCCAGGAGAAAUAAUACGUGAAAUCAUAAUUUUUUUUAAUUUUAUUUUUAAAGUGUUAUAAUUCAAGGAAAUUAUAUGUAUUUGUGGUGUAUAACAUGAUUCUUUGAUGUAUGCAUACAUUACAGAAGGGCUAUAUCAGGCUAUUAGGAUAUGCAUUACCUCAUGUAUGUAUUAUUUUGUGGUAAGUACAUUUAAAAUCUACUCUCAGCAAUUUUCAACCAUAUAAUUCCAUUAUGAACUAUAGUUACCAAGGUAUACAAUACUUAUAGAUCUUUUGUACUUAUCUCUCUUAUCUAACUAAAAGUUUGUGUCUUUGGCCAACAGAUAAUAUCAUUUAACAAUGAUAUAAAUAUGACUUUACAAAUAGCAAAUAACUUCAAACUAGAAAAGAGUGAUGACUCUUGAUUUUAUUUGGCGGUUUAUUUUGUUGUUUUACAUCACUUUUGAACAAUGGUGUCUAAUAUUCUGUUAGAACAAUGAAUAUCCUGUGCUGUUCGUUUCUUUCUUGUGCUAACACAAAACUAAAUGUGGGAUGGUGUUGAGAGGAGAAACAACUGAGUUAUCAAUGACCAAAUGUAGCUCCUCAAAAAUAAAAAGGUAAAACCAUUUCAAAUUAUGGUGACUAAGGUUAACUAGGUUCCUUGUAAUUUUCCUUAAAUCAGAAACACUUGUAUUAAACCAACCAUAAUAGUCAGUGUGUUAUAUUUGUUUAUAUCUUACAAGAGGCGUUAAAAAAAAGUAGCAAGUGGAAUUAGAUACGCCAAGACAUUCUCUUCUCACUAGGUUAAUCUAGUGCUUAGACAGAAUAUUCCAACAAUAUGGGAGCCCAACAAGACUUCUGAAGUUGACAAACAUGAAUUAAAAACUGGAAAAAGAGUUGUGAGGGGAAAAGUCAAAGAAAAUGCAAUUAUAGGAAAGCACAAAAACAAUUUAAUAAUGCCCUUCAAGUAUACUGGAGACUGUUCAGAACAGCUGAGCAGCUGUUCCUAAUCACCCUUGAACUCUAAACUGAAAAGGGGCACAAUUGUAACAGAUUUAGAUCAAGAAAGAUAUAAUAGCAAAGCAAGAACAAAGGGAUUAUCUCAGAUAUUGUGCCAAAUGCAAGGACACCUAGAAAUGUGUGCUACGUGAAUUUUUCACUCAUAAAGGUAAGGCCACCUGUACAAACCAGCUGCUUUUUUUCACUCAUGCACUCUUUGUUCUAGAAAUAUUAAAAAUAGUUAAAUGAAAACUUGCGAGAUGAUUACAAUGUUGCUAUUCCAAUAACAACUUACAAGUGAUAGGCAAUAGGCACAUUGCCUAGGAGCAGGGAUUAUGGAGUCAUACAUUUCUAGAUUUGAAACCCAUCUCCCCUACUGUCUACUUGAUUGAGCUUGGGCCUAAUUCCUCUAGUCUUUAGUUUAUUCAUUUGCAAAGCAGGGUUACUGCAAUAUAUUAUUUUGAUCAUUGUGAGGAUAGAUGAAUUAUUGGUUGUUUAAUGCUCAACAUAUAUAAAAAAUAUUAAAUGGACUAGUAUAUAACAGUGAAGGUGUGUUCAUUAUACUCUAGUAUUUCAUUCCUUGUUAACAUCAAAGUACUGUGUAUUAAAUUAUAGAAACCUUUCAACUAAGACAGACAAAAAGUAAUAAACACACCAGUCACUUUGUCUACCACUUUUCCCAACUUUAUACUCACUGACUUCAUAAAUAUCUCGGCAUAGUUAAAAAAAAAGUGAGAUGCAAUUUAUCAAGACAUACUUAAUGUCUACAGUCUGUACAUUAUGUGUCAAGAAAAGAUGGCACAGUAUGUGGACACUAGAGGUCUCCCAGGAACGGGCAGCUUCAGGACUGUCGCUCCCCCAUUCGCAGAGGAACGACACUAGACCCUGCGUUGUUCUUUUGUCUGCUCGGCCCUUCCCGGGUUAGCUGCCGUUCCCUCACUCGCGGGGGAACGACACCGUCCCGGGUUAGCUGCCGGCCCCUCCACCUCCGUGGAGGGGCAGCACCCCCCCCCCCCGCCGCUUUCCCCGCUUCCGCGGAUGAGCGGCACACCACACACUCUCGGGGGCUGCUCAGAUGUUAUCCGGAUGUUCCUGGUGUAUGUUGUCUCUCUCCUCCUUUAUAUGUCCUCUUCCACCAAUCCCAACUCUGCUAUCCACACGCCGAGCACGCUGCUCUCCUCCAACCAGGAGCAGGAUCAGCUCCUGCAGCUUGUCAAACUGAUGAGGCAGCUGCGUAGAGGUUGUUUGGUCUCUCUCUCUCAGCGCCAUAUUGUGGGAGAGCAGAUGCAUAGAAUAAGUCUUACUUCCAGUAAUUUAGUCUAGUCUCAGUUGCUCCCCACAGGACAGCAGGAAGAAAAGGAAGAAAAUGACAGAAUCGACAGGACAAGGGUGAGAGAACAUAGUUGUACAACUCAUGCAGAUUAGGAUUACUAGAAAUAGAAGUAGAACUAGAUUAGUGGUCAAAAUAGUGGCCAGUAGUGGCCAGGCAAAUAUUCUGCAACCAGAAGACACAGAGGAGGAGCAAAGACCAGGCAUGGAAGCAGAGGCCCUUGGAGCAAAUCCUAGCACAGAAGAAAUGCAUUAGUCCUGUCUCAGUGCCUCUGUUCUACUCUCACUCUGCCAGUGGAGCUUAAGUGACUCAGGUUUGGAUGGCUGCCAUUGGUGAAAUUACAGCCUGUUGCCUAGGUCACACAUGGAGAGGGGUAGACAGUUCUCUGGCAGAAGUACCUUCUUGGUGCAAUGUAAUCAUGAGCCUCUCAGUCCUUUGGGACCAGUUGCUUGUGGUUUGGAUACAUAAGAUGUUGAUAUAGUGUUUUAAUUUAUUAUUAAUACCUUCUUUUAACUUGUGGCUUAUAAAUAGUGCCUUUGCCAUGACCACUUAAAUAAUGAGACUCAUCCUCAUACAUAAUUUACUAUAGAAAUAAUAAAUGGUUUCUGGAAGGGAUUGUCUAUUGGACUUUGGUAAUCAACCUGACAUAGGCAGAUUUUUUAUCUGUCAUUUUUCUAAAUUGAAUGCACUGUUUAAUUACCAUAAAGGUAUUGAUGUAACUGCACUUCCUUUUUCUGACAAUACAAAAACAGUUGCUAUGUUUUUUGUAUUUACAAUGUAAUUCAUAACUGAAAGAGAGUGUAGAUUGCUUUUUGUCAUCAAUAACAUAGCCCCAAAGGAGAUAUUUCUGUCAAAAAUAGUCUUCUGAAUACACCAUAAUCAUUAGAGGUGAUUUUCUUUGUGAUCAUACAUGAAGAUGAGGCAUCUCAUUCAGAUUUGGCUAUAAGUUAAGCAAUUAUUUUUAAUUCAUUAGAAUCUUACUCUCAAUUUGAUCAUACCCAUGAAAUUAAGACUCUGUAGAUCAUACGGUAACAUCCACUUCUAUAAGAAGACAUAAAUAUUUUCUGCAUACUUUAAGUAUACAGAGCAUUCGUUUCUCCUAAGUUGUCAGGUGGAUUUGUUAUUUGAAAUUAUCUAAAGCAGUAGUUCUCAAAGAAUAGUCCUUAAGUUAGUAGCAUCAGCAUCACCAGGAAAUUGUUAGAAAUGCAAACUCUUAGGUCCCACCCCAGACCUACUGAUUCAGAACUAUGCGGAGUGGGGCCUGUCAUCUGUAGUUCAACAAACUCUCUAGGUGAAUCUAAUGCACACUCAAGUUCGAUAAUCAGUGUUGUAGUAGAUCAAUUAUCAUCGGGUGCUUCAUGACAAAUUUCAGUCAGCAACAGACUGCAUAUACCAUGGUGGUCCCAAAAGAUUGUGUCACCUAGUGAUGCCAUUGUCAGUUUAAUUUGUGUAAGUACCCUCUAUGUUGUUUGCACAAUGAGGAAAUCAUCGGAUGAUGCACUUCUGAGAACAUAUCCUCAUUGUUAAGCAACACAUGAGUCAUAGUUGCUUCAUUUAUGUGACUGUGAUUAAUUCAUUUAUUUGAUUAACAUAAAUUAAUAUAGUCUAUGACAUGGUAGCCACCACGAGGCAUAGUCAAGGGGUUAAUCUUAAUGUUCACCUUCAAGAAGCUUAUAAUCUGAGAUACUAACUAACAGUUGCACAGUUAAUUAUUACAGAAGUCUAAUAUAUGUCUCAGUAUAGUAUGUGAUGAAUUACCAGAUUAAAAAAGAUGGUAUGAUGUUGUCAAUAAGAACCUCUUACAGGAUUUGGGCUUUGGUAGGAUCAUUUGAGGGAGGAUCUGUAAAAAGUAGGGAUUUUUCUCUAAAUUAGAUGCCCAAAAGUAGGAGCAACGCUAAGACUGGGUAUCACAUUAAAUCUUACCCAUCAGGAGGGCAGAUGAGUGAGGAUAACCUGCAAUUUGUAAAGAAGCAGCAGUCACUCAUUUGAGUUGAGAAAACCGGAAAUGUGCCAUUUCAUAGACAGUAAAGUGACCUUGUUUUUGUCUGUGCUUAGACAAAAUUAUGAAGUGGCCUUGUUUAGUUUCACUUUUUAUCAUGAUCACAGGAUGAACUUGUCUGAUUUCGGUGUUCUGAGAUUGUUUUAUAGGAGAAAGCAGGGCUUACUUGGGAGUGCCAAGCCAGCUUCCAGAGGUCAAGAAGGGGGUUGUUUUCCUUUCUCAGGUGCUGCAUGUUUCCUUCUUCUAAAAUCAUUUUCACUGCCUCUGUUAAGUCACCUAUAACAGCAUAUUUUGAGCAAACAAUGCAGGGCAUGUUAUAUUCAGUAAAAAUUUGAAAAAUGAAUGAAAAAAUGAGUUAUUUAAACCAGCCAGAUACAUAGGAUAUGGCACCUCCCUUCCAUUCCUCAUUGAAAACCACUAAUCAAAAGACUUUGCAAAAAAAAAAAAAAUAGAGAAGUCUUUAUAAGGAAAGUGUUAGUGAACCAUACAAAGAAAUAAGAUCUGAAAGGUAAGUGAGGAUGAGUUUUGUAUUUACCAGUUACGUUAUAGUUUUGCCAAAUACACUCAUCAUUUCUGAUCAUAUUCUUUUGGGAAUUCUUUUUUUCCCUUUUGGGAAAGGGAGCAACUACUCAUAGACUCACUAGUCAUUGAUACUGUUUUGUCACUGUGAAGUGAAAAGGUAAUACAAAGAAAACGCAUGUACGUUAGGCAUGCAUGCAUGUUAGAUAUGUAUUGCCAUACUUAGAACAUUAUUUCCUUAUGUAUGUUAUUGUAUAUGUCUUGAAACAUCAUUUCCUUUCCUCUGAGUCUCUGCUGGACCCUCAAGUUCUGUCACCACUUCCACUAUAUUUGCUUUUCAGACCUACUUUUAGAAAACGUGUUAUGAGAGAGAUGAAUCCUCCUUUGGUAAUAAACUUCAAAUACUCAUAUUAGUAAUACUUAAAAAGAAUGGUGGGAGUUGCUAUUAUGAAUUUUCAUCAGUGGAGUCAAGUAAGGAUUUCAAGGAUAGCAUUUAUACGUAUGUAAGAUUUCAAAGUUCUUGGACAAAGUGGGUUAUACUUUUUAAACUACAUUUUAUAGAGACUCUGAAUACUUAGAAUUUCUGUAGGUACUGAUUUCAAUUUCUUAAAAUAACCAGUGAACUUUAUUGAUCAGAGAUCACUCAGUACAAAAUGGGACACGAAUGAAACAAACAUUUUGAUAUAAGUUUUUAUCUAAAAGAUAUGGCUUAUUUGUCCUUUUAAUUUCCAAAUAUAUGUAUGUCUCCUACCAUGAUAUUAAUGUACACAUAUGUUUUCAUUGAGGAAAACACAGAGUUCAGUGAAAAGGCCCCAGGAAGGAAGAAGUCACUAGAAGAUAAAGAUGGAAGUAGGGACCAUGAAGUGUGAAUUCUGGUAUGAACAUAAUAGAAAAUAAUUCUGGAAAUAAAUGCAAGUAAUUUUAUAAUAGAAAGAAGAUAAAGCAUAAGAUAAGAGAAACAUGUCCUAAAGGAAAUGGAAGUGCUUAGUUCAUUUUCUCUUUGUAUUAUAAAAAUAUACGAGCCUGAGUAUUUUAUAAAGAAAAGAGGUUUUCUUAACUCACAGUUCCGGAUGGCCAAGAGCAUGAUGCUGGCUUCUGCUCAGCUGUGGUGAGGGCCUUCCAGCUACAUCACCACUUGAUGGUUGGCAUCAUGGUGGGAGAACAUCCUAGAGGGAGAGAUCACAUGGCUCAGCAGGAAGCCAGGAAGACUUAGGGGCCAGGUUACUGUAAACAACUCACUCCCUUAGGAACUAACUGAGGUCUCACUAGAAGUAGAAUACUCCCUUCUGGGUAUGAUGCCCUUAGUGACCUUAUUUCCUCCCACUUGACCUGAUUUCCUAAAAGUUCCACAGCCUCCACAUCAGAACACUGUGACCAAGCGGGCAGCACAUGAAUUUUUGGGGGCCACAGUUAAACCGCAUCCAAACAGAGCAGACAAGAAAGGUAAGAUCCAGGAAUUGAAACUUGUCUUUUUUUGUCGCUCCCCCUCUUCAUGGAGGAACGACACUAAGCCCUGCCUAGGCUUCAUAUCCGAGUCACGGCACCAUUAUGUCGCUCCCCGUCUUCGUGGAGGAACGACACUGAACCCUGCGCUGUUCUUUCGUCUGCUCGGCCCUCCCCGGGUUUGCUGCUGGUUCUUCCCGGGUUGGCUACCAACCCUUCCACCUCCGUGGAAGGGCGGUUCCCCCUGCCACAUUCCCCACUUCCGCGGGGGAGCGGCACACCGCCGGCCGGCUCUCUCGGGGGCUGCUCAGGUGUUCCUUCAGAUAGAUGUUCCUCUUAGAUGUUCCUGGUGCAUGUUGUCUCUCUCCUCCUUUAUAGUCCUCUUCCACCAAUCCCAACUCUGCUACCCACACGCCGAGUACGCUGCUCUCCUCCAAUCAGGAGCAGGUCCUACAGUUUAUUGGUUGAACUGGAGGCAGCUGUGUAGAAGCUGCUUCUCCCUUCUCAGCGCCAUAUUGUGAGAGAGCAGAUGCAUAGAAUACGUCUUAAUUCCAGUAACUUAGUCUAGUCCGAGUUGCUCCCCACACCAAGCACCAUAUCCCACACUAACUGGCUGAAGAAUGUUGGAAAAGUUAUUGGAACUUUGAAUUUCAAUGACCUUCCUGUAGGGAUAAUGCCUACUGGGCAGGUUUGUUCUGAAGAUUAACUGAGACACUGUAAAGAGGAUGUUUAUGGUCAACUUCUCUGUGUGGUAAUGAGGGUGAAGGUGCUAGCAAUGGAGAGAGAAGUAAUAGAAGUAGUAAUCCAUGUCAUGCAAUAGUUCCUCAGGAUCACUUGUUGAUCCAUUUAGGGCCCUAACAAAAUAAUUUGCUUUAGGGGCUGGCACUGUGGCAUGGUAGGUAAAGCCACCAUCUGUGACACUGGCAUCCCAUAUGGGCACCAGUUCAUGUCCCAGCUGUACCAUUUCUGAUCCAAUUCCCUACUAAUGGCCCCAGGCCAGUGGAAGAUGGCCUAAGUGUGUGAGCCCCUACUACCCCCAUGAGAGACCCACCUGAAGCUCAUGGCUCGUGGCUUCAGCAUGGCAGAGCGUUGGCCAUCACAGUCAUCUAGGGAGUGAACCAACUGGUGGAAGAUCUCUCUCUCUCUCUCUUUCUCUCUCUCCCUUUCUACCUCUCUGUCUAUAACUCUUUCAAGUAAAUAAAGCUUUUAAAAAUUGCUUUAAUGGUACUCAUGAGUGACACUUUAGAAUUGUCUAAAGGCAUGAAUAUAUGAUUUAUACUGUAUAGUUUGCCUUCAUUUGUUAGAUUUUUUUGUCUUAAUACAACAAUCCUAUUUAUUAUAAGUUUAUCAUAUUUUUUCUUUUACAAUGUUUGAGGAACUAUACAUUUUAAAAUUAUUAAUUGUUUAUUCAAGAGACAGAGAGCUUCUAUCUGCUGAUUCACUUCCCAAAUGUCUACUGUGGCUGAGCUAGGCUGAAGCCAGGAACUCAGCCCUGGUCCUCGACAUGGGUGGCAGGAACCCAAUGACUUGAACCAUCAAUGCUGCCCCCCAAGGUGUGUGUGUGUGUGUGUGUGUGUGUGUAUAUAUAUAUAUACAUAUAUAUAUGUAUAUAUAUAUAUAUAUAUAUAUAUAUAUAUGUCUUGGCUCCUCUCCCAAUUCCAGCUUUAUGCUAAGGUGUUCCAUGUGAGGCAGCAGGUGUAUAUAUAUAUAUAUAUAUAUAUCAGAAGCUGGAAUCAGGAGCCAGACCUGGAGAAGGACUCCUGGUAUCUUAAGCUCUAGGCAAACUGUCCACCCAGAUUGUUGACUUUUUGGCCCAUGACAAAAAUAUUGUCAUCCUCAAAGAAAUGCUUGGGCACACACAAUAUAAAUGUUUUCUAUCCACACCACCCUGACAUAUGCAUCUCUGUGAUCAUUCACUCAACUACUGUUUAUUUAGCAUUGUCUAUGUGCAAAGCACUAUAUUGUGAAGAUUACAAAUAUUAAUCAGAAAGGAAACUUCGUUACCAAGAGCAUCUAGAUGUGGAGAUAAGAGGUCUGUGGAAAUAAGCUUUCAUAUGGUAGGAAGUGGAUUUUACUGCCAAUACACACACCCUCAAGUUUAGAAGGGAGAUAGAAUGCUUUCUUAAUGUGCAAAUUAUAUGAUUAUGCGUUAGGAAAACUAAUUGUACUCAAGUAAAAUCUAUGAGAUAAGUGAAAUAGUUAAUUAAGUUAAAAAAUUAAAAUGUGAAUAUUUCUAGUUUUUACAAAGGUAAUUAGUUAAAAUAGAAUGGGGAAAAAAAAAACAAAUUCAUAGUGGCCAGAAAAAAAAUCCAACAUAGUAAUAAAUAGUAAUAAGCAAAACAGGCAUAAUUUGAAAAUUCAUGUGGAUAGAAUGGGAUUUCAGGUGGAGGAACAAGAUACAUAAAGACAGAAUAAGGAAAUGAGCAGAUGUCAUAGGUGAGAAACAGUAGGAGUAAUGCUCCUCAAAUUUUAAUGUACAUUUGAUCACCUGAGUUCUUAUUAAAAUGCAGAUUCUGAUUUAGUAGGUCUGAGAUGGGGCCUGAGAUUCUGUUUUUAACAAACUCUUAAAUGAUUUCUGUGCUGCAAAUUAAGUGAUCCCCUUUUAUGGAGCAAGAGUUUAGAAUACAUGAAGCAUAACUAGAGAAGUUACGUUGGGGCUUUAAGGAGAGCAAUAAUUGCAAGUUAAAAAUUUUGAGUUUUAUUAUGCAGAAAGUAAAGAUUUCUGAAAACAAAAAUUACUGUUAGUAUUGCUGAAUUCUAGCAAAGUUAAUGACCUAGAAUGUUUGAGAUAGAGAUUUUGAAAGGACAGUUAAUAGUGCAAUGGUUUAGACUUCAUUUGGGACACUCACAUCCCUCAUCAAAACAUCUGAGUUUGAGUCCCAACUCUGGCCCCAAUUCUAACUUUCUGUUAAUGUGCAGCCUGGGAAGGAACAGGCAAAGGAUCAAGUAUUUGGGUCCCUCCCACCCACAUGGGAGACUCAUAUUGAGCUUUGACCUGGCUCAACCCCAGCUGUUGUGGGCAUUUGGGGAGCAAUCAGUGGGUGGUAGAUCUCUCUCUUAGUCUCUGUAUCUCUUGUGCCUUUCAAAUAAGUGAAAUUAGUUGAUUACUUUUCAAAAGAUGGAGUUUUUGUUUUCUGAAUUGAAUAGUGUUGCUGAAAGAAUAAUACACACCUUCUUUUUCUGCACUAAACAAGGAGCUCUUACUUUAUGGAUUCUCAAGCAUCUGCCUCCUUAACAACCUAACACUAUGGUUGGAUGCUUUGUAAUCAUUGGACAAUUAGGUCCCCAUAGUAUAUGUAAUUUUAUUUGAUUUAUAUCACCAAAAUCUACCGAGAAGUAGGUUUCUAAGAGACCAUAUUGUAACUCAGUUUUCAUGGGUAACAGCUAGGUAGAGAAAGUUUGAGCUAUAAAUUCAAUUAAAAAUUGUUUAAGAAUCAAAUAGUAUCAUGGUCAAGCAGUCUUGUUAUCAUUUUAAAUAAGACAUACACGUAUGGAAAAUUCUGGAGAUGAGAUUUCAGUAAUGGCAAUAGACAAUAGAAUAUCAAUGACUUUUGUUUUUUCCUAUUUAUAUUUCUAUUUACUUUUCAUUUCCAUUUUUAUCUACUCAAUAUAUUGAUUAUGUAGAUUUUAAGAUACAUAACCCUCUUACAAAAGAAAGGUGUUAAAUCUGACUGGUAAGAAUAUUAGUGUUUAAGAAAAGAACCUCAGAGAUUGUUUACUAUAUGUCCCCAUUAUUUAACAAAAGAGGAAUAGGAAACCUAAAAUGAUUAAGUGAAUUCUCUUAAGUUGAAUUAUGAGGGAGAGUUGGGGCUACUUAUAUUUUGUGACUCUCAACCCACAAUCCCACAACAAAGUGGCACUCCCCAAGAGAAUCUUUUAGUGAUAUCUCCUUGUAAAAUAUUGUGUGUGCUUCAGCUUGCCAUAUUCAUAAACUAUAUACAUGCAAAUCUCUGCACAGCUCUAUUUCUUUUCCAAACAUUUGGUCUUCUGAGUCUGUCCUUAAUUUUCGUCCAUGGCACAGUGGCAAUUUCCAAAGACUAUUUUAUAUGAAUGAAUACUACAGCUAAAUACUUAAGUGUAUUUUUUUAAUGCAACCAGGAGAACCUAUUUGCACAAUUUUCUUUAUAUAAUUUUUAUGUGUGAGAGCGAAAGAAAGAGAUGGGGGUGGGGGAGAGGCACACUACCAACCACUGGUUCCACUGGUUCACUCCUGGAAUGCCUGCAAAGGUCCUGGACCUGGAACUGAAGUGGGGAGCCACAAAUUCAGUCCAGAUCUCUUACAUGAGUGGCAGGAGCCCAACCACUUGAGCCAUUACCUGCUGCCUCACAUGGAACACCUUAGCAUAAAGCUGGAAUUGGGAGAGGAGCCAAGACAAACCCAGGCACUCUAAUGCAUGGACCUUUAAGUGACAUCUUGCCUGUUAUGCCAAAUGCCUUCCCUAAACUUGAACAAUUUUCAUGGUUUUGUUUUUAUAAAUUUACUUGUUUAAUUUCAAUCAUAAAUGCUUUAAAGCUGUUAGUAAAAUUAAGAUGUGUAUUUUCUCUUAACUGAAAACACUUAAGAUCUACCAGCAGCUACUUAGAGCUCUAGAAUGGUCAGUAUUUGGAAAAUCACAUCUAGGCAGGCAUUUGUCUUGCCUAUUCAGAUGCCUGCAUCACACAGGGAGUACCUGGGUUCAAUACUCUGGUUCUAGCUCCCUGCUGAGGCAGAGAAGCUGGCUUAAGUAAAUGGGCUUCUGCCACCUGUGUGGGGGAUCUGCAUUUAAUUCCUGGUAUUGGGUUUCUAUUUCUAUGGUUGUGGCAAUGAAUCCGUCUCUCUCUUUCUUUCAAAAUAAUUUUUUUUAAAAAAAAAGAGACUGUCUAUAUCCAGUAAGUUUUUUCAGAAUAAAAUAAAUGUUGAAGACAUGUCUUCUAAUUCUUUUUAUAGCAACACAUGGUGUAAUUCCUUGGAGAGUCAUUGCUGAGUAUAAUUUACAUAUGGACUAGGAGUAAGAAUGAGACUAACAUAGAUAACAAAAUUGGUAAGGUGUUUUUUUUUUGUUUUGUUUUGUUUUUUUUUUUUUUUUUGACAGGCAGAGUGGACAAAGAGAGAGAGAGAGAAAGGUCUUCCUUUUUCUCUUGGUUCACCCUCCAAUGGCCGCUACAGCCAGCGCACCGCACUGAUCCGAAGCCAAGAGCCAGGUGCUUCUCCUAGUCUCCCAUGGGGUGCAGGGCCCAAGCACUUGGGCCAUCCUCCACUGCACUCCCGGGCCAUAGCAGAGAGCUGGCCUGGAAGAGGGGCAACCGGGACAGAAUCCGGCGCCCAGACCGGGACUAGAACCCGGUGUGCUGGCUCUACAGGCGGAGGAUUAGCCUAUUGAGCCGUGGCGCCGGCCAGUAAGGUUUUUUCUUAAACUGAUUGUUCUUAUUUCUUAGUAGUUUUUUUCUUUAAAGAUUUAUUUAUUUAUUUUAAAGUCGGAGUUACACAGAGAGAGAGAAAAAGAGGCAGAGGCAGAGAGAGAGAGAUAGAGAGAGAGAUCAUCCAUCCGCUGGUUCACUCCCCAGAUGGCCACAACUAUCAGAGCUGCGCCGAUCUGAAGCCAGGAGCCAGGAGCUUCCUCUGGGUCUGCCACAUGGGUGCAGGGGCCCAAGGACUUGGGCCAUCUUCUACUGCUUUCCCAGGCCAUAGCAGAGACCUGGAUUGGAAGUGGAACAGCCGGGAUUCGAACUGGCACCCAUAUGGGGAUGCUGGCUCUACAGGCAGUGGCUUUACCUGCUACGCCACAGCACCGGCCCCCUUAAUAGUUUUAUUGUGGAUGGCUCAAUCAUAAAAUUAGAAAUCACUUCCAAUAGAUUACAUUUUGAAAAUAUGCUUUAUAACUAGCUUUAUUGAAAUGAAAUUAACUUAAUUAUAUUAUUAAAAUCAAAAUAAAUACUAUUGCCUAUGUUAAAACUUCAUAACUAAAUUAUAUAAAUUUUAAAAUUAAUACAAUGUAUUCUUCAUCAUGCUGAAAGUCAAAGUACAUCAAAUCAGUUCUUUUAAAAGGUCCCCUUCACAAUAGUCCAUGUCUCUCAUUUAUACUACCGGUUUCCCUCAAGUAGAUAUUUAGAAUUUCCUCUGAAUACCUGUUUCUUUCUAAUUACAAUCACUUCCAAAUUAGCAGUUGUCUUGGGAGAGAUUACAGCUGCCUUGAAGCAAAUAUAGUGUCAGUCCUUUUUAAUAAUGGCAGUAAUGUCCCUAAGAGCAUCUUAUUUCAGAAUAUUUAGGAGUUAAGUGUGAUAUAAACUUAGUACUAAAUACAUAGAUGAUUUUCUAAAUAAUGUUUCAGUUAGCAUUUUAAAGAUUCUAGUGUCACAUAGUCAUAUUUUCUCCUGUGGCUGUAUUGAGGGUUUAUUAAUAUGGUCCCAGAUAAAUUGGUCUCUAAAACAUUUGGGAGCCGAAUGGCAAAAUAAUGUAAUCUUAUGUGUUUAUGUUUGAUGUUGUAUGUAUGUAUAUGCAUAUACGUAUAUAUGCAUGUAUAUGCACACUUCUUAUUUAGCACUGGUUUAUAAGACAUGAAAUUCACCAUUAAAAGGGGGUAAAAUCACAUCAAUUGAGGCCUGAUUUUCCAUGAAAAAGCAUAUUUUAAAUUGAUACAAGUGCAUUGUUUUAAGGUGCAAACUCUUAUCUCAUAGCAAUUUGUUGUGAACAGGGUCCUGAUAACUUUAAUUUCCUCACCAGUGAGAUUCUAGCCAUAUUUCUCAGUCCUUAUUAGCUCAGGAAGGCUUCCAUCAGCAGGAUUCUCUUUCUCAUUUAAGAAGAAUGCAUAACAUCAGCCUGAAUUAUCUUUAACAUGCCUGUCUUUAAGCAUGCUUCAAUGAUAAGUUGUUCUUUGCCUUAUUUGUAUAGUAUCACAUUCAUUGUAAUAUUUAUUCUUUGUUAAAGGCAAACAUAGUUUCUUCAAAGAAGUAGAAUCAAUUGGCUAAAUUGUGAUUGAUUCACUCAUUGAUUAAUUGAUUCAUUUAACAAACCCCAUUGAAUGCUUGCUGUAUAAUAGGCACUUCACUGGCUACAAAAUAAUCCUGAUUUGGUAAACAUCUUCCAGAAGCUCCAAAUAUCAAGAAAAAUGAAGCAGGUGACAGUAUAGAUAGAACAAUAUUGUCAACCUUGUUGACAGCUGGUAAGUUGGGUGAUGGGUAUCUUACCAACUUCACAUUCAUUAUACUUUUCUCUUUUUAAUAUAUUUGAAAUUUUUCAUCAUAGAGAGGAUUUUUUUAAGUGAGUCUUUCAUCAGAACUCAUUGUACUCAAUAGAGGAUGUGUAUCUGUGUAUCCCAUUUCUUAAAAUAAACCAAUUCACCUCAGACUGCUUUUCCUUUGAUCUUUCUAAGAGUGACAGACUCCUUCUUCACAAUACAGCCAUUUUCCCCCAAAAUCAGUUUCUAGAAUUUUCCACACUGAAAAGGAAAAAAAAUAA
Molecule: non-coding RNA, 21819 nt
Organism: Oryctolagus cuniculus (rabbit)
Lineage: Eukaryota; Metazoa; Chordata; Mammalia; Lagomorpha; Leporidae
Source: RefSeq, a predicted model, not a curated record